GACGAACGCUGGCGGCGCGCUUAACACAUGCAAGUCGAACGGAAAGGCCUGCUUUCCCUUGUGGAUUGCGGGUACUCGAGUGGCGAACGGGUGAGUAACACGUGAGUGAUCUGCCCCCAACUUGGGUAUAAGCCUGGGAAACUGGGUCUAAUUCCCGAUAGGACUGCAGGGUGGUGCCUGUGGUGGAAAACGAUUUUCUAGUGGUUGGGGAUGAGCUCGCGGCCUAUCAGCUUGUUGGUGGGGUAAUGGCCUACCAAGGCGGCGACGGGUAGCCGGCCUGAGAGGGUGGACGGACACAUUGGGACUGGGAUACGGCCCAGACUCCUACGGGAGGCAGCAGUGGGGAAUAUUGCACAAUGGGCGGAAGCCUGAUGCAGCGACGCCGCGUGGGGGAUGACGGCCUUCGGGUUGUAAACUCCUUUCGACCGCGAGGAAGCCACCUGGUUGGAAGGGUGGUGACGGUAGUGGUAGAAGAAGCACCGGCUAACUACGUG
RNAcentral lists this ribosomal RNA (494 nucleotides) under uncultured bacterium. RNAcentral's name for it is "partial 16S ribosomal RNA". It matches the Rfam family "Bacterial small subunit ribosomal RNA", at positions 28 to 507 of the family's 1533-position model. The record is from RNAcentral.